CAAUAGCGUAUAUUAAUGUUGUUGCAAGUUAAAAAGCUCGUAGUUGGAUUUCUGGGUUCUUCGCUACGCUUUGGUCCGCAAGGGCUUCAGUGGGCUGUUUGAAUCCAUCCUCAGGGGGACUCAUGCUGGUAUUCAUUUAUCGGUGUGGGAACGCCUGUCGUUUACUGUUGAACAAAAUUAGAGUGUUUCAAAGCAAGGUUGUACUUGAAUACAUUAGCAUGGAAUAAUAAGAUAGGACUUUGGUGGUUCUUUCGUAGAUAUUUUGUUGGUUUGCACGCCAAAGUAAUGAUUAAUAGGGAUAGUUGGGGGCAUUAGUACUUAACUGUCAGAGGUGAAAUUCUCCGAUUUGUUAAAGACUAACUU
RNAcentral lists this ribosomal RNA (363 nucleotides) under uncultured eukaryote. RNAcentral describes it as "bacterial SSU rRNA". It matches the Rfam family "Eukaryotic small subunit ribosomal RNA", at positions 592 to 942 of the family's 1831-position model. The record is from RNAcentral.